AUAAAGAAAGUACAUAUUGAUUCUCAUUGUCUCUGAAAACUGAGUGAACAUACAUAUUGCAGAAUUUUUCUGAGAAAAGGAACCUCUGAGAUGUAUGUUCACGUUUUCCAUGUAACAAUCUGGGAGGAAAGGGAUCAACAGCAUGCUGAUCCCACUCUUACGUAUUGAAAUAAGAUGAAAGAAACACUGAAAGAGAACUGAUACCCUAUGGUGGUUUGGGUGAGGUCUGCCCAGGGGAUAAAACAUCAAGUUUGCUGCAUACAAAGAAGUCCAUCCAGGAAAUCAGUUGCCAAUCUCACCUUCUUUCAUGUACCCCCAGUCUCUUCUAUUGAUUCUUUUGGAGCUGUUCCCCGUUUGGCUUUAUAGGAAGAGAAGGAAAAGAAGUCAAAACAUCCUUCCUCAGGUGGAAAGGGACCACAGCCAAGGAAUGCAAGCAACCUCUAGAAGCUGGAAAAGAAGACCAGGCCAUGACAAAACUCAGAGGUGCUUACUACUCCUUCAGGAUACAAAGAGACGAGAACCCUGGAGAGGGAUAUGGGCAGUGGCCUUUGAAACAGAAACCUGUGUCUUGCUUCUUAUCCGCCACUGGCAACUCAUGAUGAUGAUGGUGAAUGCCGUGAUGAGGAUGCUGAGGAUGGUGAUGAUGACAAGGAUGGUGACGACUUGCGUCGAGCACUACGUGCAGAUACUCUUUCGCUUCACUGGGUUUAUACGUGGGACGCCUACCACAGCAUGGCUGCCAAGCAGUGCCAUGUCCGCACCCGGGAUCCGAACCAGCGAACCCCGGGCCGCCGAGGAGCGGAACGUGCGAACAUAACCGCUGCGCCACCGGGCCGGCCCCGAUCUCUUUCUAUUUUAGACAAUUUUGCACAAGGCACCAUUCCAAAUGCUCG
This 893-nucleotide long non-coding RNA is filed under the name Equus caballus (horse). RNAcentral's name for it is "lncRNA (ENSECAG00000041203.2)". Lineage: Eukaryota; Metazoa; Chordata; Mammalia; Perissodactyla; Equidae. The record is from RNAcentral.